Molecule: ribosomal RNA, 452 nt
Filed under: uncultured bacterium
Lineage: Bacteria
Description: bacterial SSU rRNA
Rfam family: Bacterial small subunit ribosomal RNA
Source: RNAcentral
AGCGAACGCUGGCGGCGGGCUUAACACAUGCAAGUCGAGCGGAUGUAGCAAUACAUCAGCGGCAGACGGGUGAGUAACACGUGGGAACGUACCUUUUGGUUCGGAACAACACAGGGAAACUUGUGCUAAUACCGGAUAAGCCCUUACGGGGAAAGAUUUAUCGCCGAAAGAUCGGCCCGCGUCUGAUUAGCUAGUUGGUGAGGUAACGGCUCACCAAGGCGACGAUCAGUAGCNGGUCUGAGAGGAUGAUCAGCCACAUUGGGACUGAGACACGGCCCAAACUCCUACGGGAGGCAGCAGUGGGGAAUAUUGGACAAUGGGCGCAAGCCUGAUCCAGCCAUGCCGCGUGAGUGAUGAAGGCCCUAGGGUUGUAAAGCUCUUUUGUGCGGGAAGAUAAUGACGGUACCGCAAGAAUAAGCCCCGGCUAACUUCGUGCCAGCAGCCGCCGCCGU